This 377-nucleotide ribosomal RNA is filed under the name uncultured bacterium. RNAcentral's name for it is "partial 16S ribosomal RNA". It matches the Rfam family "Bacterial small subunit ribosomal RNA", at positions 30 to 402 of the family's 1533-position model. The record is from RNAcentral.
AGCGAACGCUGGCGGCAUGCCUAACACAUGCAAGUCUGACGGGCCUGGGGCUUGCUCCGGGUCAGUGGCGGACGGGUGAGGAACGCGUAGGAACGUAUCCAAGGGUGGGGGAUAACCGCGGGAAACUGCGGCUAAUACCGCAUGGGGCCUCAAGGGAGACCUGGGGGCCAAAGGCUGAGGGAAACCUUGGUCGCCGAUGGAGCGGCCUGCGUCCGAUUAGCUAGUUGGUGGGGUGACGGCUACCAAGGCUACGAUCGGUAGCUGGUCUGAGAGGAUGAUCAGCCACACUGGGACUGAGACACGGCCCAGACUCCUACGGGAGGCAGCAGUGGGGAGUAUUGGACAAUGGGCGAAAGCCUGAUCCAGCAAUGCCGCGU